CCUACGGGUGGCAGCAGUGGGGAAUAUUGCGCAAUGGGCGAAAGCCUGACGCAGCGACGCCGCGUGAGGGAUGAAGGUCUUCGGAUCGUAAACCUCUGUCAGCAGGGAAGAACGGUCACUGUGCUAAUCAGCAGUGAAUUGACGGUACCUGCAAAGGAAGCACCGGCUAACUCCGUGCCAGCAGCCGCGGUAAUACGGAGGGUGCGAGCGUGAAUCGGAAUUACUGGGCGUAAAGCGCUCGUAGGCGGUAUGUCAAGUCAAGGGGGAAAUCCCCGCGCUCAACGUGGGAACUGCCUUUGAAACUGGCAAACUGGAGUGUGUGAGAGGAUAGUGGAAUUCCAGGUGUAGGAGUGAAAUCCGUAGAUAUCUGGAAGAACAUCAGUGGCGAAGGCGACUAUCUGGCACAUAACUGACGCUGAGGAGCGAAAGCGUGGGUAGCAAACAGGAUUAGAUACCCCAGUAGUC
RNAcentral lists this ribosomal RNA (465 nucleotides) under uncultured bacterium. RNAcentral describes it as "partial 16S ribosomal RNA". It matches the Rfam family "Bacterial small subunit ribosomal RNA", at positions 338 to 795 of the family's 1533-position model. The record is from RNAcentral.